Molecule: long non-coding RNA, 223 nt
Filed under: Lathyrus oleraceus (garden pea)
Lineage: Eukaryota; Viridiplantae; Streptophyta; Magnoliopsida; Fabales; Fabaceae
Description: Pisum sativum (pea) long non-coding RNA (PSAT_LNC019708)
Source: RNAcentral
AAUGUUUAAAAAUUGAAGAAGCUUUAUCCAAAGCUCCACAAACUUCUGACACAAUCAUAUACAAAUAUGAAAAAGCAUUUUAAAAAUUUAUGAAAAAUGGGCUAGAAAUAAGCAAAAUGGCUUCUAUGAUUUAUGGAGUUAGUCAGAAUAAGAAAAGAGGAAUAGGAUACGACUCUGAUGAAGACGAGUAAAUACCUUCUGCAGAUGAUAAACCUAAAUCUCC